AGUUACCAUUUUUACACGGUUUCACUUUUUUUACACGGAUUUUUUAUUUUAAUUGUAUACUUUUUUGCAAUAAAAUCAAAAUUCCAUACGUCACAAAUCUAUUGCUGUUAAUAGAAUUUAAUAAAUUCUAAAUUAGGUUUAAACUAAAAAAUACAAAUCUUAGAUUCGAAAGCCAUUGAAAAGGUUGCAAAAAGUUCAAUACGUAAACAAAUAAAUGAAGCUGUAUGAAGAAGUAAGAGUAAAGAAGACACAGCGAUUAAUGACGGAACUUUGAAAUGUAUUAUUUUUUUACCAUUCCCAGAAUAGUUGUUGUUUGUUCCUUCUAACAGUAAUAUGUACAUAUAUAUAAAACCGGAAAAGCCUAUAACAACAACAACAGUGAAAAUUCUCACUGUACGAAUAGAUAGAUUUUCAUGUAAAAUUAGAUCUUUUUUACACGUUUUCUAUUUUUUGCACGAUUUUUUUCAUAAAUUGGUCCCAAUAGUGAGUUUUAUAUAAAAAUUUGAUUUUUUUUGCACGGUUUUUUUUACACGAGUAAUUUAAUGUCCCAGCUAACCGUGCAAAAAGGAGAUCAACUGUGUUGAAAUAAAUUUUUAUUUAUUUUCCUACAAAUUCUUUUAAAUAUUAUUUAUGAGCAGAAAAAAUCCUAUUAAUCCGUUAAAAUUUAUAAAAAGUCAAAAUAGUUUAUCAUAUCAAAGCAUGGGCAUAUCACAUCAAAAUGCCAAUCAUCACAAAUGUUCAUUCCCCGGCAGUCAAUUCUGUUAAAUAAUAACGAGUAACGAGCGAAUGGUGAAUUCCCUACUAGCCAAUUACAAACUCUGUAAAUGACCGUAUCGAACUUCAUACAAAAAUCAAAAUGCACCUUCUCUAUGUUGUAAGUUCUCUGGUCAUCCUGGUUUGUAGCUGUGUCUUUGGCCGAAAUUCUAAAUUGUCGCAUUAAGAUCAUUGAUAUCUUUUUUUUACCACCAAUAUAGAUCAUUCAAUCAGUCAUUUAUGGUUAUCAUAUUGCGGUUUCAUGUUGCAAAAACACUCAUAUGUUAGUUGUUAAUUGGCGAUUCUUUAUGUGUCGCCACAAAUUAAAUGAUUUUAGGCAUGCGAUUAGCCCGUCAGUAACAGUUGAUCCAGGAAUAAUUGGAAGAGUCUGGCGUAAAUCACCUGCUAACAGAAUCCUGGCUCCACCAAAAACGUUCAUCGACAAUCAAGAUCUUUUAAAGUCCUGUGCAGUACCUCCAGCGACUUCUUGAAUACAGUAUACUCUCGAAAAGUAAAUCGAUUGGUAUUUUGGGCAAUUUACUUUUUCGAAUAAUUUACUUUUCCAAAUAUAUACAUAAAUUAUCUGUUUUUAUAAUAUUAAAUGCAUUUUUAAACUUAAAAAAUUCAUUCAUUUAUUUGCUUCAAUAAAACAUAUGGAUUUACAUGAAAAACAUAUUUACAUUUACAUACAUACAUAUGUAUUUACUAUGAAGAGAAAAAAUCUUGAAUAUUCUUUUGUUUUUUUUCUUUUGCAAUAUAUUUUCUGACCAUUUUUGUACGACAAUUCUGAUUUGCAUCGUUUUCAUUUUUAAACCAGUGGAUCAAGUAGGAGAGUUUAUUUACUAAAAAGACGCGAUAAACAAGAGAGUAAGUGUUUUUGCAACAUCAUAAAAAACGCUGCUUGCUUCGUUUCAAAUUUUUUAUCACACUCUCUGAAAAGUAAAUUAAAAGUAAAUUAAAAAAUUUACUUUUUCGAGGUGCAUGUGUAAUCUUAAAGGUGAUUAACUUUUCCGCGAUUAUUUACUUUCUGAGAAUUUACUUUCCGAGAGUAUACUGUAUUUGGAAAAUCUUCAUUAUAGCGCUAUUUUUGGCGAUUUUGCCGACUGGUGUUUCGUUCAUUUGCAAUUUCAGGAGUAAUUUCAAGGCCGAAUGUGCCGUUUGUUUGCCUACUAACAGGUGCCAAGUUGCCCCUAUUCCCGUUAACCUUGGUGGUGAAAAUGAGUGAAAUUGGUUCUGGAAUUACAUCAGUCCUCAUAUACUAUAUAUUUUCUAUUGGACUUUAUGCCAAUCAAUAAAUUGCGAGAGUAUAAAAUGUUCGGUUAGACCCGAACUUAGCCUUUCCUUAUUUAUUACAAAUUGUUUUGAGCUAUCGACACAACCUUAUACAAUUGAACUAUAACAAAACUAUUUUAACAAAGCAACAAUGAUAACCUUCAAAAUAUAAUUUUUUUGUUUUCUCUUUUUAUAUUUUUCUUGUGAACUCGAAUAAAAGUCUCUUAUUAUUAUCUUCCUCGCAAUUUUUCCAUAUUUACUCACUUUCUUGUCUUUUUCUGGCCUUCCACGAAUAUUUCAAGACUAAAAUUAGCCAGAUCGGUUUGGCCGUUCUCGUUUUUUUGCGGCACAAACGAACAGCAAUUCAUUUGUAUAUUAUAUUACUAUCAAGCGACAAUUUUUUUUAAUUCCGCACACGACCAUUCAGUAGGGUCGAGUGAUCUUAACCCCCCUCCCGUACCUCCGUGCCCGAGUGACGCCUACAACUCUACAACGCAUAGUUAGCCACCGAGCGGGUUUUCAAAAUUUUUAACUCGUGAUAUCUUUUGAAUGGAAUGUCAGAAUCUAAAAAUUCAAAAAGUUAUAUGUAUAAAGGUUUUGAAGCGAUCUUAAACUAAAAAAUCAUUUAUUUCGAUAAGGAUUAAUACUAAGGUGUAAAUAAAAAGCCUUUUCAAGUAGUGGUAUUUUAAUUAAUUUUUUUAUAUAAAAUCGCUAUAAUAGUUAGAGAUAUGACGUCGAUGUUUGUUUUAGAUAAUGAUAAGUUCUACAAACUUUGUUAUAUCUUCAAUCGUUUUCGCAGCAUUCGCGAUUAAAGACAGUUUUUUGGUAUUUUUUUACGUUAUCGGAGUUUUGGUAGGGAUCCCUAUUUUUUUUUUAAACUAACUAUAGCCUAUGUCACUCAGGGAUAGUAUAGCUUUCCAAAGGUGAAAGAAUUUUUCAAAUCGGUUCAGUAGUUUCGGAGCCUAUUCGAGACAAACAAACAAAAAAACAAACUUUUCCUCUUUAUAAUAUUAGUAUAAAUAUGUACAUAUGUAUAUUUAUUUUCUUUGGUUAUUAAAAUUGAAAUUAUAAUAUACCAAAAGAAUAAAUGUUCGCGCAUAAUUUGUAAUUGUAAACAAAAUCGAAAGAACCAUACGCAUGAUGUUUGUAAAUUUGUUUACAUGUAUAUGUGCGUAAAUAUGUGCCUCAUAAUUUGCUAUAUCAAAAUUUACUAACCUUUACGAUGAAAUAUCAGAAACAGAACUACUUUUAGAAAUUGAGAAGACUUUUAAAAGCGGUUAAUAUUACUGUCUCUAAUUGGGUGACGCUGGACUAUUUGAAAUUCAUUGUGGAAUGGGAUUUUACAGCAUCUCUUCUGAAUCUAACGGUCGCACUAAAGUUAUUUAUGACAAUAUAUGCAUCAGUCGCUUCAUGUGAGAGAAGUUUCAGCAAAUUAAAAUUAAUUAAAAAUUACUUGCGGUCUACAAUGACUGAAACCGGAUUAAACAAUCUUGGUAUUUUAAUGAUAGAACAUGAAGCAACACAAAAUAUAAAUUUUGAAGACAAGAUUUCGGAGUUUGCAAGUGUCAAAGCUUGAAGGAAGAAUUUUUAAUUUUUUCACAUUAUAUACUAAUAUUUGUAAUACUCGUGUUUUAAUAAAAUGUAAAUGAUUAUUACUUUUUUAUUUUAAAAGUUUUGAUUGAGGGUGACACCUUAAAAAUCCCCCCGGGUGGUUAUAACAUUCGACCGAUGGUAAGUAAUUUUGACUUAGACCAAAUAAUUUAUUCAAAGGUUUCAACUCCCAACCGUUGGAUGGCUGAUACCUGGAAAUAAAGAAUUAUCAUAUUCCUUAAAAAUUAUUUAUUCUGUUCACCUGUGUUAAAACACAGUUCGAUUCAUAUUUCACUGAACCAUUCAUUCCUCGGCAUAAUAAUAUAAGGUCUAGUACAAAUAAAUAAUUUUUUGCGUUAACUUGAUGCAAUUUUGAAGUCAAUCUCAAUAUGUCACUCUUAUUAAACCCCACUAUGAGAAGGUUAGUAUAUGGUCAAAAUCCGUUAAGCAUUUUGAGAAAAAAAGGAAUUAAACAAAACUAAGCAAAAUUAAGUUAUAAAUUUCUUAAGGUAAAUUGGCGAGACCUUAGCCCAAAAGAAAGUUGUCCAAAGCCGACAAAGAACUUCAAAAGAAGUAAAUUUAAUAGUAAAGAUAGUUGAGAAAAACUUCACUCUGAAAAUGGGCAAUGACCGUGGCAUUGAGUAGUGACUCUUUGGCGUUCUUGAUCCAAAUUGGGUGGAAAUCUAACAUAACUUUCUGUCAUCACCAAUAAAGAUAUGGGAAUAAAGCUUUGUAAAAUUUUUGCAUGUUAAUUUAUCGGCGACGAUAAAAUUUUCAAUGGCUACUGCCUGGUGAUUAACGACAGUCUGUUUACAAAACAAUAAAUUUUAUUGCGAAUUGUUGAAACACUACAAUACCGUACAACGUCAAAUAAAUCCACCUACACAAAUAUUGUCCGAAAAAAUUGUUAGGGAACUGUAGAAUAGAGCUACAACAAAAUACGCAAUGCCUUGAACUGCCAGAAAAUUUCCAACUUAUUGUUCACUAAAAAAUUAAUGAAUUGAGGUAAUUUGGUAAUUUUCGGAGGAUACAACAUAAUUACUUGAAUCAAACUGAACUGUACUAUUCUUCUGCAAUUACCUCGCUUGGAUUAGAGAAAGAAACAACCAAGUUCUCGUGUAUUUAAACAAGUUUUGUUUUGAGCUAUAUCAUGGCUGCUUGUGAAGUAUUAUUAUAUUUUGCGUGUUUAAUUUAAAUCAGUGAUCUGCAGACUAAUUGAAGUUUAAAUUAUUGAACCACGCAAAAGAUGGAAUUGAAGAGGGUGAUACUGUAAUACGAGAGCUGCUAUAUACAUAUAUUUCUGGCCUAGGCAACACUAAGUGUUGCCAGGUGCAAUCUGACAUUUCCAUUGGAAAGUUUGACAUUUUUUAGCAUAACAUCACUCAGAACGUUUUGUCAUUUAAUCGUGAAUUGUUUUAUUUACAGGGAAUUAAAAAAUCUAUCUCGGCCAAAAAAUGGAAUUAACUCGUGAACAUUUUCGUGCGAUCAUUUUUCACAACUUUCGACGUGGAUUAUCGCGACAAGAGUGCAUCGAUGAACUAAAAUCUUCGUAUGGCUAUGAAGCACUUAGUGUUGCCAGGUGCAAUCUGACAUUUCCAUUGGAAAGUUUGACAUUUUUUAGCAUAACAUCACUCAGAACGUUUUGUCAUUUAAUCGUGAAUUGUUUUAUUUACAGGGAAUUAAAAAAUCUAUCUCGGCCAAAAAAUGGAAUUAACUCGUGAACAUUUUCGUGCGAUCAUUUUUCACAACUUUCGACGUGGAUUAUCGCGACAAGAGUGCAUCGAUGAACUAAAAUCUUCGUAUGGCUAUGAAGCACCAUCCUAUAGCACUGUGAAAAACUGGUACAACGAAUUCAAUCGUGGCUCAAAGACGAAUUCCGUGAAGGUCGUUCAAAAACAGCCGUUGUGCCAGAAAACAUCGAUGCCGUACGUGAGCUGAUAAUGCAAGACCGUCAUGUAACAUACCUUCAGAUAGAGGCAUGCCUAUGCAUUUCUCCCACCAGCAUACAUUCGAUAUUGCAUGAAUACCUGGCCGUAAAAAAGCUUUGUUCUUGUUGGAUCCCUCAUAAUUUGACAAUCGCUCAAAAAAAGUGCUUCGAAAAUUGGUUUGAGCGCAUGCAAAAGUGUAUAAAUCUUGAUGGAGAAUAUUUUGAAAAACAAUAAAACCAUUUUCGUUAAUAAAUAUUCCUAUUUUCAUUAUUAGGCCAGAAAUAUAUACAGCAGCCCUCGUACUUCACUGUCAAUUCGAAGCACGCAAUAGAAGCGACGCCAACAAUGGUCAACAUCAAGGGCGAAACUAUUGAAUACAUAUUUCAAAUCUCAUACGGCGCGUUAAAGGUACGCAAACUUAUUGGUGUCACUUAUGAUAGCAGCGUAGAACUUUCGAAGCAUUGGAAUAUGUGCUGCAAGCAAAUCCAGAAUUAUGGAUGCAAACGCUGCUACAUGGAACACAAAUCAUUUACACACCAGAUAUGUAUGUAUUAGGUUUAAUGACACUUUUUUACGUCCAAUUAAACCUUUUGGUCAACACAAGCACGAGAAUUGGAACGACAUGGUUUAGGUGAUUUUGUAACCGUUUAUCAUCGCGACGUGUGUCAACUGGGUUUUGCCAAUGAGCUAGAGGGCAAAGCAGUUUCAGUAUCUUUGAGCUUACCGGCACUUGGCCGUGCCAUUAGCAGCUAAAACACAGAAAUUAAAGGGAGGACUUUUUUGAUUCAUUUUCACCUUGUAUUGAGGAAUCAUAACGUUGUUGUAUCGCUUUACAAGGACAUAAAUUCACCGAAAUUAGUUCAAUGGAAAUACUACAGCAAGAGCAUGGAUGUUAAGACUUGAACGGAAACAUAAGAAACCCUCCUCCCAGAUGAAUCUAGUACUAGUGAAAUUAAUGAAAGAACAGAUCUUAUAAAAACUCCGAAAGAAACCAAAAGAGUCU
This is a long non-coding RNA of Zeugodacus cucurbitae (melon fly), 6546 nucleotides long. RefSeq lists it as uncharacterized. The record is from RefSeq and is a predicted model, not a curated record. The transcript has 4 exons. Lineage: Eukaryota; Metazoa; Arthropoda; Insecta; Diptera; Tephritidae.